This 253-nucleotide ribosomal RNA is filed under the name uncultured bacterium. RNAcentral's name for it is "partial 16S ribosomal RNA". It matches the Rfam family "Bacterial small subunit ribosomal RNA", at positions 524 to 776 of the family's 1533-position model. The record is from RNAcentral.
UACGGGGGGGGCAAGCGUUGUUCGGAAUUACUGGGCGUAAAGGGCUCGUAGGCGGCCAACUAAGUCGGAUGUGAAAUCCCCAGGCUCAACCUGGGAACUGCAUCCGAUACUGGAUGGCUUGAAUCCGGGAGAGGGAUGCAGAAUUCCAGGUGUAGCGGUGAAAUGCGUAGAUAUCAGGAGGAACACCGGUGGCGAAGGCGGUUCUCUGGGCCUUACCUGACGCUGAGGAGCGAAAGCGUGGGGAGCAAACAGG